Long non-coding RNA from Erinaceus europaeus (western European hedgehog), 1477 nucleotides. RefSeq lists it as uncharacterized. The transcript has 3 exons. The record is from RefSeq and is a predicted model, not a curated record. Lineage: Eukaryota; Metazoa; Chordata; Mammalia; Eulipotyphla; Erinaceidae.
GCAUAAUGGGGUAGUUUGGAGAGAAAGUUUCACAUAGAUCACCUUGUCUGUUUUCAGAGCCCUGAGAACACACAUUCCCACACCUCCACAUGCAUAUGAGCCUAGGUUAAGGACCAGCCCAGUACAUCUUGGUAAACAGCUGAAAUGAAUUUUCAAACCAGUUUCCACAAAACUCUUCGCAAGCUCUCUGCCUUUGUUAAUUUAUCGGAAAAGUACAUGUUCUUUUAUUAUGGACAACCAUGGCCAUUUUCCAUACCACUCUGCCCAAAGCAGCCCAGUAAGGAAACAUCAGAACAAUUAAUUCUUCCCCUCACAUUUUCUCUUGAAAGACAAAGAAAACAGAAUCAUUCUGCCAGGAAGAAAGCUGAGCCAGUCCCCAUAGGCCUCAGAAUGACGUCUGCUGGUAGUCUUAGUCUUUCUCACAGACUUGCCGGCCUCAGAACAAAGUCCAUUUAUUUCUGAUGUGUUGGUACUGUCAGCCAGCGGACACACAGAUAGGCAGGCGGGGGUCUCAGCCUUGGUUUUGCUUUGCUGGCCUGAGGAUGACAGCCACUGCUUGAACAGGAACUUGUUUGUUUUAGGUCCUCCUGUGACGUCGUGAUAUCUGAAUAGCUGUCAGGUUCUAGGGAAAGGUUUCUCUAACGCCGAAUGAGACUCAUUGUUCAUAGCUACAGUGAGGCUGUACUGAAUACACGUUUUUGUGUGCGUAUACAUGGCUGAAAAGCUGAGGUCACUUAUUCAACUUACUGUGGUGAGUUCAGUGGGUGAUUUACUCUUGCCUUCUCUUUUUAGCACAUUUAGACCUGAACACAGAUAGUCUCCAUCCCAUCUCAUUUAUCCUAACUUCUUUUUUCUUUCUUCAUUCAUCCUUUCCUUUUUUUUUUUUCUCUCCUUCUCCUUCUUCUUCUUUUAUUGCUUCCAGGGUUGUUGCUAGGGCUCAGGACCCCCUGCACAAUGAAGCCACUUAUCUUGGUGGCCAUUUUUUCCUUUUGUUCCUCCCUGCCUUCAUUUUAUUAGCUAGGACAGAGAGAAAUUGAGAUUGGGAAGCGAGAGAGAGAGAGAGGGAGAGAAAGAGAGACACCUACAGACCUGCUUUACUGCUCAUGAAGCGGCCCAGCCCCUGCAGGCGGGCAUGAGGUCUUGAAUCCGGGUCCUUGUGCCUGCUCAUGUGUGUACUCAACCAGAUGUUCCACCAUCUGGCUUAAAAUGAAAUUUUAUUUCAAAGUGCUCUUCCCUAGGCUGACACUGACCUGAAGCUCUGGCUUGCCAUCAACUUGCACAGUACUGGCGUUGACCAUGUCCAGAAUGGGGACACCAUGACCGCGUGGACUCCCAGAGGAGAUGCAGAAUCCCAGGCCGCUCGUGAUGAGGAAAUUCUGCUGACGGAACUUCUUUCUUGGCCACAUCCUGAAGAAACCUGGGAAUUCCACAAACGUGUAGCGACUGUAGCCCUGAAAUGAAAUGUAAAUAGAAUCUG